UACAAGCAGUGGGAGCACAGGUUUACCUGUGUGACUGCGUACCUUUUGUAUAAUGGGUCAGCGACUUAUAUUCUGUAGCAAGGUUAACCGAAUAGGGGAGCCGGAGGGAAACCGAGUCUUAAUUGGGCGUUAAGUUGCAGGGUAUAGACCCGAAACCCGGUGAUCUAGCCAUGGGCAGGUUGAAGGUUGGGUAACACUAACUGGAGGACCGAACCGACUAAUGUUGAAAAAUUAGCGGAUGACCUGUGGCUGGGGGUGAAAGGCCAAUCAAACCGGGAGAUAGCUGGUUCUCCCCGAAAGCUAUUUAGGUAGCGCCUCGUGAAUUCAUCUCCGGGGGUAGAGCACUGUUUCGGCUAGGGGGCCAUCCCGGCUUACCAACCCGAUGCAAACUGCGAAUACCGGAGAAUGUUAUCACGGGAGACACACGGCGGGUGCUAACGUCCGUCGUGAAGAGGGAAACAACCCAGACCGCCAGCUAAGGUCCCAAAGUCAUGGUUAAGUGGGAAACGAUGUGGGAAGGCCCAGACAGCCAGGAUGUUGGCUUAGAAGCAGCCAUCAUUUAAAGAAAGCGUAAUAGCUCACUGGUCGAGUCGGCCUGCGCGGAAGAUGUAACGGGGCUAAACCAUGCACCGAAGCUGCGGCAGCGACACUGUGUGUUGUUGGGUAGGGGAGCGUUCUGUAAGCCUGUGAAGGUGUGUCGUGAGGCAUGCUGGAGGUAUCAGAAGUGCGAAUGCUGACAUAAGUAACGAUAAAGCGGGUGAAAAGCCCGCUCGCCGGAAGACCAAGGGUUCCUGUCCAACGUUAAUCGGGGCAGGGUGAGUCGACCCCUAAGGCGAGGCCGAAAGGCGUAGUCGAUGGGAAACGGGUUAAUAUUCCCGUACUUGGUGUUACUGCGAAGGGGGGACGGAGAAGGCUAUGUUGGCCGGGCGACGGUUGUCCCGGUUUAAGCGUGUAGGUGUGUGUUCCAGGUAAAUCCGGUUCACUUUAACACUGAGGCGUGACGACGAGGCACUACGGUGCUGAAGCAACAAAUGCCCUGCUUCCAGGAAAAGCCUCUAAGCAUCAGGUAACAUCAAAUCGUACCCCAAACCGACACAGGUGGUCAGGUAGAGAAUACCAAGGCGCUUGAGAGAACUCGGGUGAAGGAACUAGGCAAAAUGGUGCCGUAACUUCGGGAGAAGGCACGCUGACACGUAGGUGAAGUGAUUUACUCAUGGAGCUGAAGUCAGUCGAAGAUACCAGCUGGCUGCAACUGUUUAUUAAAAACACAGCACUGUGCAAACACGAAAGUGGACGUAUACGGUGUGACGCCUGCCCGGUGCCGGAAGGUUAAUUGAUGGGGUCAGCGCAAGCGAAGCUCCUGAUCGAAGCCCCGGUAAACGGCGGCCGUAACUAUAACGGUCCUAAGGUAGCGAAAUUCCUUGUCGGGUAAGUUCCGACCUGCACGAAUGGCGUAAUGAUGGCCAGGCUGUCUCCACCCGAGACUCAGUGAAAUUGAACUCGCUGUGAAGAUGCAGUGUACCCGCGGCAAGACGGAAAGACCCCGUGAACCUUUACUAUAGCUUGACACUGAACAUUGAGCCUUGAUGUGUAGGAUAGGUGGGAGGCUUUGAAGUGUGGACGCCAGUCUGCAUGGAGCCGACCUUGAAAUACCACCCUUUAAUGUUUGAUGUUCUAACGUGGACCCGUUACCCGGGUUGCGGACAGUGUCUGGUGGGUAGUUUGACUGGGGCGGUCUCCUCCUAAAGAGUAACGGAGGAGCACGAAGGUUGGCUAAUCCUGGUCGGACAUCAGGAGGUUAGUGCAAUGGCAUAAGCCAGCUUGACUGCGAGCGUGACGGCGCGAGCAGGUGCGAAAGCAGGUCAUAGUGAUCCGGUGGUUCUGAAUGGAAGGGCCAUCGCUCAACGGAUAAAAGGUACUCCGGGGAUAACAGGCUGAUACCGCCCAAGAGUUCAUAUCGACGGCGGUGUUUGGCACCUCGAUGUCGGCUCAUCACAUCCUGGGGCUGAAGUAGGUCCCAAGGGUAUGGCUGUUCGCCAUUUAAAGUGGUACGCGAGCUGGGUUUAGAACGUCGUGAGACAGUUCGGUCCCUAUCUGCCGUGGGCGCUGGAGAACUGAGGGGGGCUGCUCCUAGUACGAGAGGACCGGAGUGGACGCAUCACUGGUGUUCGGGUUGUCAUGCCAAUGGCACUGCCCGGUAGCUAAAUGCGGAAGAGAUAAGUGCUGAAAGCAUCUAAGCACGAAACUUGCCCCGAGAUGAGUUCUCCCUGAGACUUAGAGUCUCCUGAAGGAACGUUGAAGACGACGACGUUGAUAGGCCGGGUGUGUAAGCGCAGCGAUGCGUUGAGCUAACCGGUACUAAUGAACCGUGAGGCUUAACCUUACAACGCCGAAG
This 2395-nucleotide ribosomal RNA is filed under the name Salmonella enterica subsp. enterica serovar Enteritidis. Its description in RNAcentral is "bacterial LSU rRNA". It matches the Rfam family "Bacterial large subunit ribosomal RNA", at positions 565 to 2925 of the family's 2925-position model. The record is from RNAcentral. Lineage: Bacteria; Pseudomonadati; Pseudomonadota; Gammaproteobacteria; Enterobacterales; Enterobacteriaceae.